This 220-nucleotide long non-coding RNA is filed under the name Vigna radiata. Its description in RNAcentral is "long non-coding RNA (VRAD_LNC004049)". Lineage: Eukaryota; Viridiplantae; Streptophyta; Magnoliopsida; Fabales; Fabaceae. The record is from RNAcentral.
UUCAUCCGGGCCCACGCGUCGGAGGCCCAGGCCCAGCAGGUGGAGCCGAAGGCACGCGACACGACCUCCCUGAAGACCUUCCAAAUCUACCGGUGGAACCCUGAGAACCCGUCGAAACCGGAGCUGAAGGACUACCAGAUCAACCUGAAGGAGUGCGGGCCCAUGGUCCUGGACGCGCUCAUCAAGAUAAAAAACGAGAUCGAUCCCACCCUCACCUUCC